CCUACGGGGGGCUGCAGUGGGGAAUAUUGGACAAUGGGGGCAACCCUGAUCCAGCCAUGCCGCGUGUGUGAAGAAGGCCCUCGGGUUGUAAAGCACUUUCAGUGAGGAAGAACGCCUGGUGGUUAAUACCCAUCAGGAAAGACAUCACUCACAGAAGAAGCACCGGCUAACUCCGUGCCAGCAGCCGCGGUAAUACGGAGGGUGCGAGCGUUAAUCGGAAUUACUGGGCGUAAAGCGCGCGUAGGUGGCUUGAUAAGCCGGUUGUGAAAGCCCCGGGCUCAACCUGGGAACGGCAUCCGGAACUGUCAAGCUAGAGUGCAGGAGAGGAAGGUAGAAUUCCCGGUGUAGCGGUGAAAUGCGUAGAGAUCGGGAGGAAUACCAAUGGCGAAGGCGGCCUUCUGGACUGACACUGACACUGAGGUGCGAAAGCGUGGGUAGCAAACAGGAUUAGAUACCCCUGUAGUC
RNAcentral lists this ribosomal RNA (465 nucleotides) under Vreelandella stevensii. RNAcentral describes it as "partial 16S ribosomal RNA". It matches the Rfam family "Bacterial small subunit ribosomal RNA", at positions 338 to 795 of the family's 1533-position model. Lineage: Bacteria; Pseudomonadati; Pseudomonadota; Gammaproteobacteria; Oceanospirillales; Halomonadaceae. The record is from RNAcentral.